This 116-nucleotide microRNA precursor is filed under the name Aegilops tauschii. RNAcentral describes it as "miR166a stem-loop (ata-MIR166a)". Its record names the gene ata-MIR166a. It matches the Rfam family "mir-166 microRNA precursor family". From Rfam's summary of the family: This family represents the plant microRNA (miRNA) precursor mir-166. The record is from miRBase by way of RNAcentral. Lineage: Eukaryota; Viridiplantae; Streptophyta; Magnoliopsida; Poales; Poaceae.
GCUUCUGGGUGGAAUGUUGUCUGGUUCAAGGUCUCGCUCUGGUUUGAGGAUGGAAACCUUUCAUUUCUCUCAGCUUCCUGCGAUCUCGGACCAGGCUUCAUUCCCCUCAGAGAUAG